UAGCAGGGCAGGGCGGGGGGACCCAGAGUGGAGCGGCUCGCCCUGCCUGCGGAUGACGUCCACCAGGAUGUCAAUCACGAUGAUGGUGCCCGUGCAUCCGAUGCCCCCACUGAGGACAAACUAGGCGGCCUUUGACGAGAGUGGGGGGCGGGGGCGGGGGCGCCCCCGCCCACCCGAUGGCUCCGCCCUCGUCGUCCCGCGUGGCCCCGCCCCGCCGCACCUGCACCUGCACAGCCCGCGUGGCCCCGCCCCGCCGCACCUGCAUCUGCACAGCCCGCGUGGGCCCGCCCCGCCGCAGCUGAAGUGCACCACCAUGGGCCCGGCCCGCGGCUUGCUGCUCUGGGCCCGGUUCACCUCGUCCCGGAAGCCGAGGACGCCGGCGGGAUCGGCCCGGACGCCGUAGUCCGGCCAGCCGAAGUACUGGAAGUGCUGCACCGUACGCUGUGGCUCCUCCUGAGCGGGGCAAGCGCUCCCGCACGCAGUAGCCCUGGGCCUGGCCCUUGCCGAGGACGCGCAUGUGCACACGGCCGAACUCUUGGCUGCCGGGCAGCUCUGGCCAGUCCCGGAAACACUUGUUCCGAGGGGAGCGCUUUGCAUCAGCCUUGCUGGCAGCACCUCGGCACCCCGCCCCUGCGACCUGCAGAGACGCAGACCCUGUGGUGAGCAGAGAUGGAGGGUCCAGGGUAUGCAAGGGGGAGCCUCAGGUCAGCGGUGGCAGAUGCUCGGCCUGCCCCCCACCUCCCCCAGGCCCGACGGGUGACGCCCUGGCCUCCGCCCUCACAGGGAAGGAUGUUCUUGUAGUGAUUCUUGGGCUUGUUCUCCACACUCUGCCCCUCCUUCCGAGGGUACAGGAACCGGCAUUCCUGCUGCUGCAGCAUCUGGAGGUGAUGGAGCCUUCAGCUCACAGCCCCGGCCCCUUCCCAGAGCCCGAGAUGGCCACCCCCAGCCCGUCCCGUGUGGGCGGAAGAGUACCUAGGUGCCGAGGCAAGAGACUGAAGGCACAAACUGUUUCAGUAUAAUAAAGAAAAUA
This 1030-nucleotide long non-coding RNA is filed under the name Homo sapiens (human). Its description in RNAcentral is "HSALNT0289694". The record is from RNAcentral. Lineage: Eukaryota; Metazoa; Chordata; Mammalia; Primates; Hominidae.